Molecule: RNA transcript, 1265 nt
Organism: Ostrinia furnacalis (Asian corn borer)
Lineage: Eukaryota; Metazoa; Arthropoda; Insecta; Lepidoptera; Crambidae
Gene: mge
Gene name: translocase of outer mitochondrial membrane 22 homolog mge
Exons: 5
Source: RefSeq, a predicted model, not a curated record
UUGUCCUCGAUUGUCUUUGGUUUGGUUGAUGGAGUGAGUGAAGUGGUGGUUGGUUGAAUUUUGGAGUUUUUGUGCUCGCUCGCGCUCGCUCGUGGUAUUUAAUCGAUCGUAAUUUAGUUAUUGUGCACACAUCUAGUUCGUGAAAUUAAACACGAACCUAAACGUGUAAAAGACGUAUUUGGACUACGUAAUAUGAUUACGGAUUUGACUGAUGAAUUGGAUCAAAGCGACAGCGGUAUGGAAUCACUGAUUGCGAGCAAGGAUGACACUCCUGAACGUAGACCUGAAGACAGUUUCAUAAUCCCUUCGCUAGGAUCAUCCCCCAGCGCAGGUACACCAAUAGGAACUUUGAAAGAAUACGACGAUGAGCCUGAUGAAACUCUUUCCGAAAGACUAUGGGGAUUGACUGAGAUGUUUCCGGAGUGUGUCCGGAAUGGCACAUACACAGUUACUACUACAACUUGGUCUGGCGUAAAGUCCUUGUAUGGUCUAUCCCGCUCAGUCAUGUGGAUCGUGGCGAGUUCAUCCGUAAUUCUAUUUGCCCCAGUCAUCUUUGAGGUAGAGCGAGCACAAGUGGAAGAAAUGCAAAAAUCACAGCAAAAACAGGUAAUAUUUUCAUAUUGAUUCAAACUAUGUCAAAUAGUAGUCAGCAACCUUUUUAUUUGCAUCUUGGUCUAAUGGUUAAAUCCUAAAAUAUAAAAUAAUAAUUAUUUAUUGGUACAUAGUGAUAAUAAUUAUGAUCUUCACCUUAUGAAAAGGUCUUUAGUACAUAAGAGAAGUUGUUGUUUUAUUCUUGUAUUUCAAGUCUACAUGUUUCAUUUCAGGUCUUAUUGGGAACUAAUACUGCCCUGUCCGGUCCAAUGCCCAACAUGCCACCAAUGCCGCGAUAAGCCAAAAAAUUUAACAUAAUAAUUUACAUCCAUCUAUGUAUGACACACUAUAGGACACAAAAUGUCAUCCUAAAUGCUUUAAUGUUAGUUUUUUAGAUUAAUUAAAUAGGUACUUUUAUUGUAAUAUUUGAAAUAAUUUUAUUGAAGUUUAUUAUUUCCUGUUAAAAAUUCUAGCAUGUUCUGAAGAUUUCUAUUGAUCUGUGUACUAAUUGCAUUUAAUUAAGAUAUCAAUCAAAUAUCAGUCUGCAAGAAUUGGAGAGAGAACACAAGCUUAUUAUCUUUUCUUUGCUUUUACACUACCUAUACUCUUUUUAUAUAAAAUAAUCGUUUGGUCAUUGUUGGUGUAAGUAGGUACCUUAUUAAUGGAAUGUAUAG